UCAAAGCCUCUCGGGGAGACCACUUCUCGCGGUAUUUGCCGCCCAGGCUCCACCCCUCGCACGCCGCUAGUCUUUGUUGGCAUAUAGUUCUUGGUGCCGGAGCUUGGACCGAGUCCGAAUCCGGAGGUCUUCUCUGCGUGGGAGGUGAACUACCCUAAAGGGUUUUGAGAGUUAGCGGCGUCAGCACGCUCCCUCCCCGGCCUGCGGUGCACGCCGAUGCCCAGAAGGGAGAGGCGCAUUCAGGUGCGCCGGUCCGCUGCAACCUGGGUCCCUGCGGCGGCCCGUUCUUCCUGCAUCACAAUGCAGGAGUGCAGGGGCGGGGGCUUCGCGGGCCGUGGGGCGCCGGGGGACUCUGAGCUGGCAGCACCUUCUCCGGUGGUAAACUGCUUAGAUGCGCAGGGAGCGUCUGCUGAGAACCCGGGCGUGAGCCGAGGCUCCGACGUCAGAGCGCCUGGGAACACCUGGGCAUCUAGCGGGCGUGCACGUUCCGACUCGGUGGCUCCGGGAGGGGCCCGACCGUCUGCAUUUCUCCCAAGCUCCCAGGAGGUGCUGCCAGUUCCUAGAGUAGCAAGGGGGUGGAGAAAUAGCUAGGGUUGUUUAAAUCUUGGAGAGCCUGGACUCUUUCGGACGAAUCAACUAAGAUGAAACAGCGAAACAUCUCAAAAAUUUGGCAAAUCUUGUUCGGUUUUUCAGUAAAAAAAAGUUUUUUAAUUAAAUUUGCUUUUGAAGUAUGUCUGUCUUAGUUUGUAAUUUACAUUUGACUAAUAGUGUGCAUCUUCAGGAAUCCUUGUGAAUGAGCAAGCCUAACUUACUUUGUUUUCAAAUGUAACAAAAAAUUAUGGAUUAAUAUUCGAUUUGACAAAAUAUUUUGGAGCUAUUUAACAUGUAUUGAUUUUAAUUUUUACAAUCAUUCGUUCUAUUUUGCUGUCAUUUUUUUUUUUUUGCAAGUUAUGCAUUAUUCAGUAAAAUGUUGAACUCAUAUCUAAAACGGGAUGGUUAAACUUGUUUUGGGUACCUAAUAAAACCUAUGCAAUCAUUACCUAAUUUUUCAAGAAUAUUCAAAUUAUAAAUUGUACAUAUCACAUUAAAUAAGCCAAAUUUGUAAAAGUAGAUAUGCAUUAUGAUCCCAGUCUCAAAAACAUCUAUUUCUAUGUCUUUGUCCACAAAAACAGAUCUGAAUGGAAAGAUGGAGUGAUUAAAUUUUUGUUCUUUCAA
Molecule: long non-coding RNA, 1215 nt
Filed under: Marmota monax (woodchuck)
Lineage: Eukaryota; Metazoa; Chordata; Mammalia; Rodentia; Sciuridae
Source: RNAcentral